RNAcentral lists this ribosomal RNA (253 nucleotides) under uncultured bacterium. Its description in RNAcentral is "partial 16S ribosomal RNA". It matches the Rfam family "Bacterial small subunit ribosomal RNA", at positions 524 to 776 of the family's 1533-position model. The record is from RNAcentral.
UACGUAGGGGGCAAGCGUUGUCCGGAUUUAUUGGGCGUAAAGAGCGUGUAGGCGGCUUUACAGGUCCGUUGUGAAAACUGGAGGCUUAACCUCCAGACGUCGAUGGAAACCGUAUGGCUAGAGUCCGGAAGAGGAGAGUGGAAUUCCUGGUGUAGCGGUGAAAUGCGCAGAUAUCAGGAAGAACACCCGUGGCGAAGGCGGCUCUCUGGGACGGUACUGACGCUGAGACGCGAAAGCGUGGGGAGCGAACAGG